CGCCCCACAUGGAUUAGAUAAUGUAGGUUUUAAAUUUGAUUUAAAACUUCCUUAUCUAGAUAUAUUUGAUAUCAUCUAACUUCCUUAUCUAGGAGAGAUUGGAUCUCAUUUUAAUUACUUUCAUACCAACUAUAAAGGGCUUCUUUUUGUGCGAUAAAGAAGUGUGGAUUCACCAUGAGAACCCUAUUUUCUCAUAGUGAAUAAGGUUGUUAGGGUGCAUGAAAAAAUAAAUAUGGGGCACACGAUUUUCUUUUGGCAUGUAAGAAACUAAAGAAGUGUCUCUAGGGCGUGGGUUUCAUGUUUUGUGGCA
RNAcentral lists this long non-coding RNA (310 nucleotides) under Elaeis guineensis (African oil palm). RNAcentral's name for it is "long non-coding RNA (EGUI_LNC001882)". The record is from RNAcentral. Lineage: Eukaryota; Viridiplantae; Streptophyta; Magnoliopsida; Arecales; Arecaceae.